This 73-nucleotide transfer RNA is filed under the name Paramuricea clavata. It matches the Rfam family "tRNA". Rfam says of the family: Transfer RNA (tRNA) molecules are approximately 80 nucleotides in length. Their secondary structure includes four short double-helical elements and three loops (D, anti-codon, and T loops). Lineage: Eukaryota; Metazoa; Cnidaria; Anthozoa; Malacalcyonacea; Plexauridae. The record is from Rfam by way of RNAcentral.
GACCGCGUAGCUCAGUUGGCAGAGCAUGGGGCUAGUAUUCCAAAGGUCGUAGGUUCGAGUCCCACCGUGGCCA